RNAcentral lists this ribosomal RNA (279 nucleotides) under uncultured bacterium. RNAcentral describes it as "partial 16S ribosomal RNA". It matches the Rfam family "Bacterial small subunit ribosomal RNA", at positions 29 to 333 of the family's 1533-position model. The record is from RNAcentral.
AACGAACGCUGGCGGCAGGCCUAACACAUGCAAGUCGAACGCCCUAGGCAAUAGGGAGUGGCAGACGGGUGAGUAACACGUGGGAACGUGCCUUUCGGUUCGGAAUAACCAGGGAAACUUGGACUAAUCCGGAUACGUGCGAGAGCAGGAAAGAUUUAUCGCCGAAAGAUCGGGCCCGCGUCCCGAUUAGUUAGUUGGUGAGGUAAUGGUUCACCAAGGCGACGAUCGGUAGCUGGUCUGAGAGGAUGAUCAGCCACGCUGGGACUGAGACACGGCCCA